GGCGGAAUGGCCGAGUGGUCUAAGGCGAGUGACUUAAGAUUUUUAUCAUACUUCACUUUCUCGAAAGAGAGCGUGGGUUCGAACCCCACUUCCGUCA
This is a transfer RNA of Coniochaeta ligniaria NRRL 30616, 97 nucleotides long. It matches the Rfam family "tRNA". From Rfam's summary of the family: Transfer RNA (tRNA) molecules are approximately 80 nucleotides in length. Their secondary structure includes four short double-helical elements and three loops (D, anti-codon, and T loops). NCBI's taxonomy places the organism in Eukaryota, Fungi, Ascomycota, Sordariomycetes, Coniochaetales, Coniochaetaceae. The record is from Rfam.